RNAcentral lists this long non-coding RNA (578 nucleotides) under Nicotiana benthamiana. Its description in RNAcentral is "long non-coding RNA (NBEN_LNC029033)". The record is from RNAcentral. Lineage: Eukaryota; Viridiplantae; Streptophyta; Magnoliopsida; Solanales; Solanaceae.
UGAGGCAGAGUUUCGUCCUGAGCAAUGAAGAUAGAGACCAAUCACUUUGAUCGUGGUUGUUCUAGCCAAGCCGCUUCGGAUCCAGCUAGCCCUUGAAAGGAUUAACUAAACAUAUCAUUACUUAAGCAAAGGUCUCGGCGUCCCCGACCUUGGGGCCUAGUCGCUGGCUUGAUGGCUAAUCAUCAGUCUAUGGUACUAAAGACCUUACCGGUCGGGUAAAGCUUGCGCGAAGGGAUUCGUUGAACAUAGUUCAACUCAUUCACUCUAAUAGUAGAAGUCAUCAGGACGGUAGCACUUCAGCGAAUAGCAGCUACUGCUGCAGCAGCUUUAGAUACUCGCCUGGAAUCGGUAUUUCAGACCUAUGUCAUGGGUCCCACCUGCUUACCGGCAUGCUUCUUGCAACACGGACUUCGGGUUUUGGAGGGCGUCCCGCGCCUAGCCCUUAGCUCGGGACGGGAUGAAGUGUUCAAGGUUCUCCCCAGUCAUUAUUAUUAUAACACAUCAAAAUCGUCUCGUAAAACCGCUAUGCGCUCUCAAGAUUUCAAUAACACUUCUGAAGUAGAAUUGUUAGAGAUUCA